This 231-nucleotide ribosomal RNA is filed under the name uncultured bacterium. Its description in RNAcentral is "partial 16S ribosomal RNA". It matches the Rfam family "Bacterial small subunit ribosomal RNA", at positions 103 to 334 of the family's 1533-position model. The record is from RNAcentral.
CGGGUGCGGAACACGUGAGCAACCUGCCCCGGAGACCGGGAUAACAGCGGGAAACUGCUGCUAAUACCGGAUGUCCCCACCGGUCCCGCAUGGGACUGUGAGGAAAGGAUUCCGCUUCGGGAGGGGCUCGCGGCCUAUCAGCUUGUUGGUGAGGUAACGGCUCACCAAGGCGACGACGGGUAGCUGGUCUGAGAGGACGAUCAGCCACACUGGGACUGAGACACGGCCCAG